RNAcentral lists this ribosomal RNA (497 nucleotides) under uncultured bacterium. Its description in RNAcentral is "partial 16S ribosomal RNA". It matches the Rfam family "Bacterial small subunit ribosomal RNA", at positions 28 to 507 of the family's 1533-position model. The record is from RNAcentral.
GACGAACGCUGGCGGCGUGCCUAAUACAUGCAAGUAGAACGCUGAAGAGAGGAGCUUGCUCUUCUUGGAUGAGUUGCGAACGGGUGAGUAACGCGUAGGUAACCUGCCUUGUAGCAGGGGAUAACUAUUGGAAACGAUAGCUAAUACCGCAUAACAAUGGAUGACACAUGUCAUUUAUUUGAAAGGGGCAAUUGCUCCACUACAAGAUGGACCUGCGUUGUAUUAGCUAGUAGGUGAGGUAAUGGCUCACCUAGGCGACGAUACAUAGCCGACCUGAGAGGGUGAUCGGCCACACUGGGACUGAGACACGGCCCAGACUCCUACGGGAGGCAGCAGUAGGGAAUCUUCGGCAAUGGGGGCAACCCUGACCGAGCAACGCCGCGUGAGUGAAGAAGGUUUUCGGAUCGUAAAGUUCUGUUGUAAGUCAAGAACGGGUGUGAGAGUGGAAAGUUCACACUGUGACGGUAGCUUACCAGAAAGGGACGGCUAACUACGUG